UGCAAGUUGAACGCUUGAUUUUCACCGAAGCUUGCUUCACCGAAAAUCAAGAGUAGCGAACGGGUGAGUAACGCGUGGGUAACCUACCUUUCAGCGGGGGAUAACUAUUGGAAACGAUAGCUAAUACCGCAUAACAAUGUUGGAUGCAUAUUCGACAUUUGAAAGUACCAACUGGUACACUGAGAGAUGGACCCGCGUUGUAUUAGCUAGUUGGUAGUGUAAUGGACUACCAAGGCGAUGAUACAUAGCCGACCUGAGAGGGUGAUCGGCCACAUUGGGACUGAGACACGGCCCAAACUCCUACGGGAGGCAGCAGUAGGGAAUCUUCGGCAAUGGACGAAAGUCUGACCGAGCAACGCCGCGUGAGUGAAGAAGGUUUUCGGAUCGUAAAACUCUGUUGUUAGAGAAGAACGUUGCAUAGAGUGGAAAAUUAUGCAAGUGACGGUAUCUAACCAGAAAGGGACGGCUAACUACGUGCCAGCAGCCGCGGUAAUACGUAGGUCCCGAGCGUUGUCCGGAUUUAUUGGGCGUAAA
Molecule: ribosomal RNA, 534 nt
Filed under: Lactococcus sp. CFL1.A6
Lineage: Bacteria; Bacillati; Bacillota; Bacilli; Lactobacillales; Streptococcaceae
Description: bacterial SSU rRNA
Rfam family: Bacterial small subunit ribosomal RNA
Source: RNAcentral